This 497-nucleotide ribosomal RNA is filed under the name uncultured bacterium. Its description in RNAcentral is "partial 16S ribosomal RNA". It matches the Rfam family "Bacterial small subunit ribosomal RNA", at positions 28 to 507 of the family's 1533-position model. The record is from RNAcentral.
GAUGAACGCUGGCGGCGUGCCUAAUACAUGCAAGUCGAGCGAACAGAUGAGGAGCUUGCUCCUCUGACGUUAGCGGCGGACGGGUGAGUAACACGUGGAUAACCUACCUAUAAGACUGGGAUAACUUCGGGAAACCGGAGCUAAUACCGGAUAAUAUAUUGAACCGCAUGGUUCAAUAGUGAAAGACGGUUUUGCUGUCACUUAUAGAUGUAUCCGCGCCGCAUUAGCUAGUUGGUAAGGUAACGGCUUACCAAGGCAACGAUGCGUAGCCGACCUGAGAGGGUGAUCGGCCACACUGGAACUGAGACACGGUCCAGACUCCUACGGGAGGCAGCAGUAGGGAAUCUUCCGCAAUGGGCGAAAGCCUGACGGAGCAACGCCGCGUGAGUGAUGAAGGUCUUCGGAUCGUAAAACUCUGUUAUUAGGGAAGAACAAAUGCGUAAGUAACUAUGCACGUCUUGACGGUACCUAAUCAGAAAGCCACGGCUAACUACGUG